This 2155-nucleotide ribosomal RNA is filed under the name Clostridium sp. Its description in RNAcentral is "partial 23S ribosomal RNA". It matches the Rfam family "Bacterial large subunit ribosomal RNA", at positions 13 to 2007 of the family's 2925-position model. Lineage: Bacteria; Bacillati; Bacillota; Clostridia; Eubacteriales; Clostridiaceae. The record is from RNAcentral.
AAGGGCACAAGGUGGAUGCCUUGGCACAUGAAGGCGAAAAAGGACGUAAGUGAACGAAAACUAGGGUAAGCUCACAAAAAGCAUUGACCCCUAGGUCUCCGAAUGGGGCAACCCGGUUGUGGAAGACACAAUCAUUACUAAGUGAAUACAUAGCUUAGUAAGGCGAUACCCUGCGAACUGAAACAUCUAAGUAGCAGGAGGAAAAGAAAGAAACAUCGAUUUUCUAAGUAGCGGCGAGCGAAAGGAAAAGAGCCUAACUCAUUAGUGAUUUAGUAAUGUUAGUCAAAUUAUCUGAAAAGAUAAACCAAAGAAAGUGAAAGUCUUGUAGACGAAAACAUUAAUAAACGAGAGGGAAAGUAUCACCGGGCACGAGUAACCCGGUGUGAAGAUAGGGGGCCCAUCCCCUAAGGCUAAAUACUAACAUGUGACCGAUAGUGAACAAGUACCGUGAGGGAAAGGUGAAAAGAACCCCGAAAGGGGAGUGAAAUAGAACCUGAAACCUAGUGCCUACAAGCAGACAGAGCGUGAGCGAACGUGAUGUCGUACCUUUUGUAGAAUGGGCCAGCGAGUUAUUCUAAAUUGCAAGGUUAAUGAUUUAAGAUCAGAAGCCGUAGCGAAAGCGAGUCUUAAUAGGGCGAAAGUAAGUUAGAAUAGACCCGAAACCGGGUGAUCUAUCCAUGGUCAGAGUGAAGUUGAAGUAAAAUUCAAUGGAGGCUCGAACCGGGUGCGGUUUAAAACGCAUCGGAUGAACUGUGGAUAGGGGCGAAAAACCAAACGAACCCGGAGAUAGCUGGUUCUCCUCGAAAUAGCUUUAGGGCUAGCCUCUGACCUAAGAUUUUAGGAGGUAGAGCACUGAAUGGUCUAGGGCGGAUUACCGUACCAAAACCUAUCAAACUCCGAAUGCCAAAAAAUCAAGUCAGGGAGUCAGACUUAGGGGGAUAAGCUUCUAAGUCGAAAGGGAAACAGCCCAGACCGACAGCUAAGGUCCCAAAAUUUGAAUUAAGUGGAAAAGGAUGUGAAUCUACUAAGACAACCAGGACGUUGGCUUAGAAGCAGCCAUGCAUUUAAAGAAUGCGUAAUAGCUCACUGGUCAAGUGGGUUUGCGCCGAAAAUGAACGGGGCUCAAAUUCAAUACCGAAGCUUCGGAUUAAUAGAGGGAUUAAGUUUACAAAUGAGACUAGGAAAUAUUUAACAAAAACAGAAGAGAUUAAAAAGAAAAACAAAUUUCAGACGCAGACAUAAAAGAUAGGAUAUUAAAAAGAAAUAUUCAAAAAACACAAGUCUAAAGUCAAAAGUGAGUAACAUAAGAAAUUAUGAACUAACAAUCACUGGUUAAGAGUUAAAAACUAGGACUCAUAGCUAAACUUAAUACCUCUAUUAGUGGUAGAGGAGCAUUGUAUUAGAGACGAAGCCAAGGCGAAAGCAAAAGUGGAUCUAAUACAAGAGAGAAUGCUGGCAUGAGUAGCGAGAAGGGAUGUGAGAAUCAUCCCCGUCGAAACCCUAAGGACUCCUGAGCAAGGCUCGUCCCCUCAGGGAAAGUCGGGACCUAAGCCAAGGCCGAAAGGCGUAGGCGAUGGAUAACAGGUUUAUAUUCCUGUACCGCUUGAAGUCGUUAAGAGAGAAGUGAUGACGCAAAAGGAUAAGCAAAGCCAUCAGAUGGAAAAGAUGGUCUAAAGCCGUAGGAAGAAAAGUAGGCAAAUCCGCUUUUCACAAAUUCUAAAAGCCGAUAGGUAUCGAAAACAUAAGUAGAGAAGUUGCCGAUUCCAGGUUGCCAAGAAAAGUCACUAUCCAGACCAAAGCGCCCGUACCAAAACCGACACAGGUAGGGAGGUAGAGAAUACCAAGACGCGCGGAAGAACCUUUGUUAAGGAACUCGGCAAAAUGUCCCCGUAACUUCGGGAGAAGGGGAGCCUGAGCAAUCAGGCCACAGAAACCAGGCCCAAGCGACUGUUUACCAAAAACACAAGUUUCUGCAAAAUCGCAAGAUGAAGUAUAGGAGCUGACACCUGCCCGGUGCUGGAAGGUUAAGGGGAAGGCUUAGAGCAAUCGAAGGCUAGAACUUAAGCCCCAGUAAACGGCGGCCGUAACUAUAACGGUCCUAAGGUAGCGAAAUUCCUUGUCGGGUAAGUUCCGACCCGCACGAAAGGUGUAACGA